AACGCGAAGAACCUUACCUGGUCUUGACAUCCACGGAAGUUUUCAGAGAUGAGAAUGUGCCUUCGGGAACCGUGAGACAGGUGCUGCAUGGCUGUCGUCAGCUCGUGUUGUGAAAUGUUGGGUUAAGUCCCGCAACGAGCGCAACCCUUAUCCUUUGUUGCCAGCGGUCCGGCCGGGAACUCAAAGGAGACUGCCAGUGAUAAACUGGAGGAAGGUGGGGAUGACGUCAAGUCAUCAUGGCCCUUACGACCAGGGCUACACACGUGCUACAAUGGCGCAUACAAAGAGAAGCGACCUCGCGAGAGCAAGCGGACCUCAUAAAGUGCGUCGUAGCCCGGAUUGGAGUCUGCAACUCGACUCCAUGAAGUCGGAAUCGCUAGUAAUCGUGGAUCAGAAUGCCACGGUGAAUACGUUCCCGGGCCUUGUACACACCG
This 434-nucleotide ribosomal RNA is filed under the name uncultured bacterium. Its description in RNAcentral is "bacterial SSU rRNA". It matches the Rfam family "Bacterial small subunit ribosomal RNA", at positions 958 to 1392 of the family's 1533-position model. The record is from RNAcentral.